UUGGGCCUCAGGUUAUCUAUAUUUUUGGGUAGCAAUGUAGUGCCGCCUCCACGUGGCGCUGCCUGGGAUCACUAGUGGUUACUACUGCUAGUGAUGCUAAGAGCACUACAUACAAGAAGAAUAACAAUACUAACAGUUCAAGCUGAAAUAAAGAUGAAAUGUCAAGUGGAUUGAUGCUCAAGACUGAAGCUAGAGAUUUAUAUACUAGUUUUAAUUUUUUUUGAAAAUAAUUCUUUUAAAAUUUUGAUUGCAUGCAUUUAUAGCGAUUUGAACUGUCAUUGCCGGUUCUACAACUACUGCUGUGCAGCACUGCUAAAUGAGCCACCAACACAUGCACACAUCUUUUUAUAAUGAAUGUACAAAAUAUUAUGUUGUGUAGAAAUUCUAAUUCAAAUUUUAAUUUUUAAGGUUCCUAAUUUAUGUCAAGAUGUGCAUGUAUCUAUAUA
Molecule: long non-coding RNA, 446 nt
Organism: Amphimedon queenslandica
Lineage: Eukaryota; Metazoa; Porifera; Demospongiae; Haplosclerida; Niphatidae
Exons: 2
Source: RefSeq, a predicted model, not a curated record